RNAcentral lists this ribosomal RNA (507 nucleotides) under uncultured Glomus. RNAcentral describes it as "SSU rRNA". It matches the Rfam family "Eukaryotic small subunit ribosomal RNA", at positions 569 to 1078 of the family's 1831-position model. The record is from RNAcentral. Lineage: Eukaryota; Fungi; Glomeromycota; Glomeromycetes; Glomerales; Glomeraceae.
AGCAGCCGCGGUAAUUCCAGCUCCAAUAGCGUAUAUUAAAGUUGUUGCAGUUAAAAAGCUCGUAGUUGAAUUUCGGGACCAAUUUGUUGGUCGUGCCUCGGUACGUACUGGUAUUAUUGGUUUCUCCCUUCUGAAGAACCUUGAUGUCAUUAAUUUGGUGUCUUGGGGAAUCAGGACUGUUACUUUGAAAAAAUUAGAGUGUUUAAAGCAGGCAUACGCUUGAAUACAUUAGCAUGGAAUAAUGAAAUAGGACGUUUGAUUCUAUUUUGUUGGUUUCUAGGAUCGACGUAAUGAUUAAUAGGGAUAGUUGGGGGCAUUAGUAUUCAAUUGUCAGAGGUGAAAUUCUUGGAUUUAUUGAAGACUAACUACUGCGAAAGCAUUUGCCAAGGAUGUUUUCAUUAAUCAAGAACGAAAGUUAGGGGAUCGAAGACGAUCAGAUACCGUCGUAGUCUUAACCAUAAACUAUGCCGACUAGGGAUCGGAUGAUGUUAAUUUUUUAAUGACUCA